This 469-nucleotide ribosomal RNA is filed under the name uncultured bacterium. Its description in RNAcentral is "partial 16S ribosomal RNA". It matches the Rfam family "Bacterial small subunit ribosomal RNA", at positions 28 to 507 of the family's 1533-position model. The record is from RNAcentral.
GACGAACGCUGGCGGCGUGCUUAACACAUGCAAGUCGAACGGAAAGGCCCUGCUUGCAGGGUGCUCGAGUGGCGAACGGGUGAGUAACACGUGGGUGAUCUGCCCCUUACUUUGGGAUAAGCCUGGGAAACUGGGUCUAAUACUGGAUAGGACCAUGCUGUAGGUGGUGUGGUGGAAAGAUUAGUUUCGGUAAGGGAUGGGCUCGCGGCCUAUCAGCUUGUUGGUGGGGUAAUGGCCUACCAAGGCGUCGACGGGUAGCCGGCCUGAGAGGGUGGACGGCCACAUUGGGACUGAGAUACGGGCCAGACGCCUACGGGAGGCAGCAGUGGGGAAUAUUGCACAAUGGGCGCAAGCCUGAUGCAGCGACGCCGCGUGGGGGAUGACGGCCUUCGGGUUGUAAACUCCUUUCAGCCAUGACGAAGCCCUUGUGGUGACGGUAGUGGUAGAAGAAGCACCGGCUAACUACGUG